Molecule: non-coding RNA, 517 nt
Organism: Carica papaya (papaya)
Lineage: Eukaryota; Viridiplantae; Streptophyta; Magnoliopsida; Brassicales; Caricaceae
Source: RefSeq, a predicted model, not a curated record
UCCAAAACUCGCUGAAUGAGCUUCUCCAUUGAAAAUUUUGCAAUACAAUUCAAGUUGACUACUUGAGCAUCCUCACGCGAUGUUUGGUCCUUACAGAAAAUGCUUGAUUAUUAUAAAUUAACAUGUUAUGCUCUUAAUACUUUGAUGAGUUUGUUGUGCUACUCAUGACAAAAUCCUGUUCCAGGUUUACAGUGGCAGAACUUGUAUGUCAUAUUUUUGGCCCUGGAUAUCGGUUUCUCCUUCAUUGCACAACGGGGUGAAUACAGAUUGGCUUGGCCUUGGAGGAAAAGGAACAAUGAUCAUGGCAUUGAGUCUCAAUUCUUGAACUCUGUAAUGAAACUUUUGUAUGGUGUUGUUGGGUUAAUAUUGGAAUAUAGGUAAAUUUCAGUUCGUAUGGUCUGAUUAACCAUCCUAGUUUGCAUUAUCGUGGAUACAUCCAAAUGUCAUGCAGGUUAUCAGACAACUUGGCUGUCCAUCACUGGCUAUGGGCGGAAGAAAUAAAUUAUUUUUUAUGAAA